Long non-coding RNA from Alosa sapidissima (American shad), 213 nucleotides. RefSeq lists it as uncharacterized. NCBI's taxonomy places the organism in Eukaryota, Metazoa, Chordata, Actinopteri, Clupeiformes, Clupeidae. The transcript is spliced from 2 exons. The record is from RefSeq and is a predicted model, not a curated record.
GGGGGUUAGAGGGCAUAGAGAGGGGUGGGGGCAGGGGGGGCAGGGGGAGUAGAACCGCCACGACAUCACGUGUGAGAAAGGCAAGAAAACAUUACAGUGAUCCGUUUAAUACUCAUCGUACUGCAAUCAAAAAACACACAUUAUAACGCUCCCCCGAUUUAUUGUACAAGGGACAGACAACAUUUUUUUUUUUUUCGUCUUCUUCUUUAAAAG